RNAcentral lists this ribosomal RNA (254 nucleotides) under uncultured bacterium. RNAcentral's name for it is "partial 16S ribosomal RNA". It matches the Rfam family "Bacterial small subunit ribosomal RNA", at positions 524 to 776 of the family's 1533-position model. The record is from RNAcentral.
CACGUAGGGUGCGAGCGUUGUUCGGAAUUAUUGGGCGUAAAGAGCUCGUAGGCGGUCUGUCGCGUCGGUCGUGAAAACUUGGGGCUUAACCCUGAGCUUGCGGUCGAUACGGGCAUGACUGGAGUUCGGCAGGGGAGACUGGAAUUCCUGGUGUAGCGGUGAAAUGCGCAGAUAUCAGGAGGAACACCGGUGGCGAAGGCGGGUCUCUGGGCCGAUACUGACGCUGAGGAGCGAAAGCGUGGGGAGCAAACAGG